Molecule: ribosomal RNA, 253 nt
Filed under: uncultured bacterium
Lineage: Bacteria
Description: partial 16S ribosomal RNA
Rfam family: Bacterial small subunit ribosomal RNA
Source: RNAcentral
GACGAAGGUGGCUAGCGUUGUUCGGUAUCACUGGGCUUAAAGGGUGUGUAGGCGGAAAAGUAUGCGUCUUGUGAAAUCCCCCGGCUUAACCGGGGAAUUGCUUGACGAACCACUUUUCUUGAGGCAAGUAGGGGUGCAUGGAACUCUUGGUGGAGCGGUGAAAUGCGUAGAUAUCAAGAGGAACGCCGGCGGUGAAGACGUCGCGCUAGGCCUGUCCUGACGCUGAGGUGCGAAAGCCAGGGGAGCAAACGGG